RNAcentral lists this ribosomal RNA (406 nucleotides) under uncultured bacterium. RNAcentral's name for it is "partial 16S ribosomal RNA". It matches the Rfam family "Bacterial small subunit ribosomal RNA", at positions 30 to 526 of the family's 1533-position model. The record is from RNAcentral.
AUUGAACGCUGGCGGCAGGCCUAACACAUGCAAGUCGAACGAGUGGCGGACGGGUGUAUAAUGUCUGUGAAACUGCCUGCUUGAGGGGGUUAACUACUGGAAACGGUACCUAAUCCCGCAUACCAUCAGAUUUGCCCAGAUGGGAUUGGCUUGUUGGUGGGGUAACGGCUCACCAAGGCGACGAACGCUAGCUGGUCUGAGAGGAUGACCAGCCACACUGGAACUGAGACACGGUCCAGGCUCCUACGGGAGGCAGCAGUGGGGAAUAUGGGACAAUGGGCGAAAGCCUGAUGCAUCCAUGCCGGGCGUAUGAAGAAGGAUUUCGGGUUGUAAAGUACUUUCAGCGGUGAGGCGUUAGCCGGAGAAGAAGCACCGGCUAACUCCGUGCCAGCAGCCGCGGUAAUUC